UUUAGUUUAUAACUUAUUUGAAAUAUCACAUAUAGAACCACAUAUUGUACCUUAUUAAACAGUGCCAUUGUUUUUAAAAUGACUAAUAUAAUAACUAUUGCAAUUAUUGGCACUUGAAUUUUAGUGGAGGUCAAUUGCAUUGGAGAUAGUGGUAUGGUGAUUGUGGAAGUCUCUCUUAACAUAAUAAUAUUUUGGAUUUGCAAUCUUAUUAUAAGUUCUUAGAUUCUUACAUCUAUUUUUAUAUUUUUAAUAUUUAUGGCCAAAAAUUAGUGCUUCAUUUAUUUUAAGAGAUCUUUAGUAGAUUCUUCUUCUUUUUUAAGUUUUUUUUUUUUUUUUUUUUUUUUUGACGUUUCUAUAAGGUCAAGAGGUAAUUUAUCUUUAUUAACUUCUCUUGUAGUAAAAUUUUUUUUAGAGCCAUGCCUUAUAGAAUCA
RNAcentral lists this long non-coding RNA (432 nucleotides) under Physcomitrium patens. Its description in RNAcentral is "long non-coding RNA (PPAT_LNC007577)". Lineage: Eukaryota; Viridiplantae; Streptophyta; Bryopsida; Funariales; Funariaceae. The record is from RNAcentral.